RNAcentral lists this transfer RNA (86 nucleotides) under Lachnospiraceae bacterium. RNAcentral describes it as "tRNA-Leu". It matches the Rfam family "tRNA". Rfam says of the family: Transfer RNA (tRNA) molecules are approximately 80 nucleotides in length. Lineage: Bacteria; Bacillati; Bacillota; Clostridia; Lachnospirales; Lachnospiraceae. RNAcentral also lists the same sequence under 4 other names. The record is from RNAcentral.
GCCGGCAUGGCGGAACUGGCAGACGCACAGGACUUAAAAUCCUGCGGGUGGCGACACUCGUACCGGUUCGAUUCCGGUUGCCGGCA